AUGAACGCUGGCGGCGUGCCUCAUACAUGCCAGUCGAGCGAACGGACGAGAAGCUUGCUUCUCUGAUGUUAGCGGCGGACGGGUGAGUAACACGUGGAUAACCUACCUAUAAGACUGGGAUAACUUCGGGAAACCGGAGCUAAUACCGGAUGAUAUUUUGAACCGCAUGGUUCAAAAGUGAAAGACGGUCUUGCUGUCACUUAUAGAUGGAUCCGCGCUGCAUUAGCUAGUUGGUAAGGUAACGGCUUACCAAGGCAACGAUGCAUAGCCGACCUGAGAGGGUGAUCGGCCACACUGGAACUGAGACACGGUCCAGACUCCUACGGGAGGCAGCAGUAGGGAAUCUUCCGCAAUGGGCGAAAGCCUGACGGAGCAACGCCGCGUGAGUGGUGAAGGUCUUCGGAUCGUAAAACUCUGUUAUUAGGGAAGAACAUAUGUGUAAGUAACUGUGCACAUCUUGACGGUACCUAAUCAGAAAGCCACGGCUAACUACGUG
Molecule: ribosomal RNA, 496 nt
Filed under: uncultured bacterium
Lineage: Bacteria
Description: partial 16S ribosomal RNA
Rfam family: Bacterial small subunit ribosomal RNA
Source: RNAcentral